UCAAAAAUAUCUUAGGGUUUCUCAAUGGCUGCUGAGGUUGAGUACAGGUGCUUUGUUGGUGGCCUUGCAUGGGCCACUACUGACCAAUCCCUUCAAGAAGCGUUUAGCCAGUACGGUGAAAUCAUCGAUUCGAAGGUCCGUUUGCCUUCGCAGAAACGGAUCUGACCCGGCCCGAUCGGUUUCGGCUCUGGCGAUCCAUUAUCUGUUCUGUUUGUGUUACUAUUUGUUACUGUUCUCUGUUCUCUUUUAUGUUACUGUCACUAACCACCAAUCGGUACGUUCAUCUUCAGUGCUUUGGCUCGAAGAUCGAUCGAUUUGUUCAUUUUUCUUUCUUUAUUACGAUAAUACCUUUAGAUCUGAUCGGGUUUUAAUUGUACGCAGAUCAUAAAUGACCGUGAAACUGGAAGAUCUCGCGGCUUUGGAUUUGUGACAUUCAACAACGAGAAGGCAAUGAGAGAUGCGAUUGAUGGAAUGAACGGCCAAGAUCUUGAUGGGCGUAACAUCACCGUGAAUGAAGCGCAAUCUCGCGGAAGCGGCGGCGG
RNAcentral lists this long non-coding RNA (542 nucleotides) under Populus tremula. RNAcentral's name for it is "long non-coding RNA (PTRE_LNC002224)". Lineage: Eukaryota; Viridiplantae; Streptophyta; Magnoliopsida; Malpighiales; Salicaceae. The record is from RNAcentral.